This 301-nucleotide ribosomal RNA is filed under the name uncultured bacterium. Its description in RNAcentral is "partial 16S ribosomal RNA". It matches the Rfam family "Bacterial small subunit ribosomal RNA", at positions 509 to 807 of the family's 1533-position model. The record is from RNAcentral.
CAGCAGCCGCGGGAAUACGGAGGGGGCUAGCGUUGUUCGGAAUUACUGGGCGUAAAGCGCACGUAGGCGGAUCGAUCAGUCAGGGGUGAAAUCCUGGAGCUCAACUCCAGAACUGCCUUUGAUACUGUCGAUCUCGAGUUGGGAAGAGGUGAGUGGAACUCCUAGUGUAGAGGUGGAAUUCGUAGAUAUUAGGAAGAACACCAGUGGCGAAGGCGGCUCACUGGUCCGGUACUGACGCUGAGGUGCGAAAGCGUGGGGAGCAAACAGGAUUAGAUACCCCAGUAGUCCCUGUCUCUUAUAC